CUUCAUGAAGCUGGAAUUGCUAGUAAUGGCAGGUCAGCAUACUGCCGUGAAUACGUUCCCGGGCCCUUGUACACACCGCCCGUCACACCAUGAGAGUUGGAAAUACCCGAAGCCUGUGAGCUAACUGUAAAGAGGCAGCAGUCGAAGGUAGAGCCAAUGAUUGGGGUGAAGUCGUAACAAGGUACC
RNAcentral lists this ribosomal RNA (186 nucleotides) under uncultured bacterium. Its description in RNAcentral is "partial 16S ribosomal RNA". It matches the Rfam family "Bacterial small subunit ribosomal RNA", at positions 1316 to 1500 of the family's 1533-position model. The record is from RNAcentral.